CCUACGGGUGGCAGCAGUGGGGAAUAUUGCACAAUGGGGGAAACCCUGAUGCAGCGACGCCGCGUGAGUGAAGAAGUAUUUCGGUACGUAAAGCUCUAUCAGCAGGGAAGAAAAUGACGGUACCUGACUAAGAAGCCCCGGCUAACUACGUGCCAGCAGCCGCGGUAAUACGUAGGGGGCAAGCGUUAUCCGGAUUUACUGGGUGUAAAGGGAGCGUAGGCGGUAGCGCAAGUCUGGAGUGAAAGCCCAUGGCUUAACCCUGGAACUGCUUUGGAAACUGUGCAGCUAGAGUGCAGGAGAGGUAAGCGGAAUUCCUAGUGUAGCGGUGAAAUGCGUAGAUAUUAGGAGGAACACCAGUGGCGAAGGCGGCUUACUGGACUGUAAAUGACGUUGAGGCUCGAAAGCGUGGGGAGCAAACAGGAUUAGAUACCCGGGUAGUC
RNAcentral lists this ribosomal RNA (440 nucleotides) under uncultured bacterium. Its description in RNAcentral is "partial 16S ribosomal RNA". It matches the Rfam family "Bacterial small subunit ribosomal RNA", at positions 338 to 795 of the family's 1533-position model. The record is from RNAcentral.